AUUGAACGCUGGCGGUAGGCCUAACACAUGCAAGUCGAACGCGAAAGUCCUUCGGAUGAGUAGAGUGGCGGACGGGUGAGUAACGCGUAGGAAUCUAUCCUGUAGUGGGGGAUAACGUUUCGAAAGGAACGCUAAUACCGCAUACGCCCCAAGGGGGAAAGCGGGGAUCUUCGGACCUCGUGCUAUAGGAGGAGCCUGCGUCGGAUUAGCUAGUUGGUGAGGUAAAGGCUCACCAAGGCGACGAUCCGUAGCUGGUCUGAGAGGAUGAUCAGCCACACCGGAACUGAGACACGGUCCGGACUCCUACGGGAGGCAGCAGUGGGGAAUAUUGCGCAAUGGGCGAAAGCCUGACGCAGCCCAUACCGCGUGUGUGAAGAAGGCC
Molecule: ribosomal RNA, 382 nt
Filed under: uncultured bacterium
Lineage: Bacteria
Description: bacterial SSU rRNA
Rfam family: Bacterial small subunit ribosomal RNA
Source: RNAcentral